This 20-nucleotide small nuclear RNA is filed under the name Arabidopsis thaliana (thale cress). RNAcentral describes it as "snRNA_03923". The record is from RNAcentral. Lineage: Eukaryota; Viridiplantae; Streptophyta; Magnoliopsida; Brassicales; Brassicaceae.
AAACUAAUUGGAUACGUCAU